AGGGUUUGAUCAUGGCUCAGGUCGAACGCUGGCGGCGCGCUUAACACAUGCAAGUCGAGCGAGAACCAGUCCUUCGGGACUGGGGACAGCGGCGAACGGGUGAGUAACACGUGGGUAAUCUGCCCUCGAUUCUGGGAUAGCCCGGGGAAACCCGGAUUAAUACCGGAUAGCCUCUCGAGCUUACGAGCUCGUGAGAAAAGGUAGCUUCGGCCUCCGAUCGAGGAUGAGCCCGCGGCGGAUUAGCUUGUUGGUGGGGUAAUGGCCUACCAAGGCGACGAUCCGUAGCUGGUCUGAGAGGACGAUCAGCCACACUGGGACUGAGACACGGCCCAGACUCCUACGGGAGGCAGCAGUGGGGAAUCUUGCGCAAUGGGCGAAAGCCUGACGCAGCGACGCCGCGUGGGGGAAGAAGGCCUUCGGGUUGUAAACCUCUUUCAGCAGGGACGAAGCCACUCGGGUUAAUAGCCCAGAGGGUGACGGUACCUGCAGAAGAAGCCCCGGCUAACUACGUGCCAGCAGCCGCGGUAAUACGUAGGGGGCAAGCGUUGUCCGGAUUUAUUGGGCGUAAAGAGCGUGUAGGCGGCCGCACAGGUCCGUUGUGAAAACUGGAGGCUUAACCUUCAGACGUCGAUGGAAACCGUGCGGCUAGAGUCCGGAAGAGGAGAAUGGAAUUCCUGGUGUAGCGGUGAAAUGCGCAGAUAUCAGGAAGAACACCCGUGGCUAAGGCGGUUCUCUAGUACGGUACUGACGCUGAGACGCGAAAGCGUGGGGAGCGAACAGGAUUAGAUACCCUGGUAGUCCACGCCGUAAACGAUGGGUGCUAGUGUGGGGGGGGGUGUCGACUCCCCCCGU
Molecule: ribosomal RNA, 852 nt
Filed under: uncultured Rubrobacteria bacterium
Lineage: Bacteria; Bacillati; Actinomycetota; Rubrobacteria
Description: bacterial SSU rRNA
Rfam family: Bacterial small subunit ribosomal RNA
Source: RNAcentral